UGAUUAUUGUGCUGGAAACCAUCUGAGUCGUCAAUGAGCUAUCAGUUUCAAGUCGGUAUAGUAUGGUGGUAACUUCGGAGAGUAUCUUAACGAAUAUCAUCAUAGUUAGGAGAAUCAUCCAAAUUUUUCAUGGAGCCAUAAUAAUCAAGUCCAAAUUUUUUCUCUAAGCCAAUCAUACACUCCAGAAUUUUAGGAUCAAGCUCC
RNAcentral lists this long non-coding RNA (204 nucleotides) under Panax ginseng (ginseng). RNAcentral describes it as "long non-coding RNA (PGIN_LNC008282)". Lineage: Eukaryota; Viridiplantae; Streptophyta; Magnoliopsida; Apiales; Araliaceae. The record is from RNAcentral.